RNAcentral lists this ribosomal RNA (256 nucleotides) under uncultured bacterium. RNAcentral's name for it is "partial 16S ribosomal RNA". It matches the Rfam family "Bacterial small subunit ribosomal RNA", at positions 524 to 776 of the family's 1533-position model. The record is from RNAcentral.
GACGUAGGUGGCGAACGUUAUCCGGAAUUAUUGGGCGUAAAGGGUGCGUAGGCGGCAUGAUAAGUUAUUGGCGGCAAAUCGAGGCUCAACCUCGUGGAAACUGAUAAUACUGUCUUGCUUGAGUGCAGAAGAGGUUAACGGAACUCCAUGUGGAGCGGUAAAAUGUGUAGAUAUAUGGAAGAACAUCAAUAACGGCGAAGGCAGUUAACUAUUCUGUUACUGACGUUGGGGCACGAAAGCGUGGGGAGCAAAAAGG